RNAcentral lists this long non-coding RNA (1172 nucleotides) under Malus domestica (apple). RNAcentral describes it as "long non-coding RNA (MDOM_LNC005925)". Lineage: Eukaryota; Viridiplantae; Streptophyta; Magnoliopsida; Rosales; Rosaceae. The record is from RNAcentral.
UUACAAAUGCAAUACGGUCUUUCUCUAAUCUAAUACUCUUGACCACAUUGUUUGGUUGGAUAGUUUAUUUAUUCAUGUCUACUAUCCAAUGUGAUUCGUGUGCUUAUAUGAUUACCUUGAAUGUGAUUUGGAACGCUUUCCUAAAUCUCAUUCAUACUCUGGCGAGAGGUUCUAAAUCAUAUCAUAGAGUAUUCUCCCUCAAACGAUUUGAAGGUUAGAGAUCCCUUGUUGCGCAUGCACUUGUCUCCAUGACUAAGUGGCUUAACCCCAACGAUGCCGUGGACACCCCGAUGGGGUGACUUUGACAUAAUCAAAGAUUAAGGACUUAACCACAAGACAACUAUGAUGCCUCAGGUCAAAGGACUACUUUGCAUUAUCCCAACCAUGAGUUCUCAUGUGACAUGAAUAUGAGAACUCUUCGUUGAUCGUGUUCAGUGAACUCAUUCUCUAUUGAGCACCUACGUACUUGUCUUGAUGUCACACACACCAAUGACUCGAGACUAGUCACUCUCCCUGAGAGAAGACAUAGCACGUACUGAUCUUAACGGACUGUCAAUGCCCAAUUGGCAAUCCUAUGAUCAGGAACGUUUAGGAUGUGUCUACGAAAGAAUGGUCUCAUGAAUCUAACUUCUUUAGAUUUCAUUCUCCCAAUCACAUAUUCCUUGGACUUAUCGUUUAAGCAUAUAACAUUUAUAUGAGACGGCUUAAAACAAUAAUCUUUGCCCUUGAUAUUAAACUAGAUUAGUUUAACUUGUGAAAUGUCCGUAAAGUAUCAUCAUAUGAUUGGUUUUAGGGCACAUUUCCAACAAUUGUUACAAGCUUUAUUCUUGCUUCUUUGAAUGUAAAUUUUGUUAGAAAAUUUGGCAUCUCAAAUGUUGUAGAUGUAGUUCAUAUGAGCAUGAAUUUUGGAGCUAAAAUUUGGUGCCAUGUUUUUGGGGAAAUUUGGCCAAAUCCGAAGGGUGGAUUUUUGGGUUCAUGUGUUGUCUUGUUAAAAGUGUUUUAAAGUGACAUUAGGAACCCCUAAGUACCCUAGUAUGGUAAUAUGUUUUUUUCCCUUAAGUUUGAGAGUUUUUGGGGUGUCUUUGGGUGAAAAAUGUUCAUGGAGCUCUUAUGGGUUUUCAUGGAUGUUCUUCUUUGUUCUUGUUAUGUUCUAACCAAGAACAAAAAGGUUU